ACGGAGGGUGCGAGCGUUAAUCGGAAUGACUGGGCGUAAAGCGCGCGUAGGUGGUUUUUUAAGUUGAAUGUGAAAGCCCUGGGCUCAACCUGGGAACUGCAUCCAAAACUGAGAGACUAGAGUACAGUAGAGGGGGGUAGAAUUUCCGGUGUAGCGGUGAAAUGCGUAGAGAUCGGAAGGAAUACCAGUGGCGAAGGCGGCCCCCUGGACUGAUACUGACACUGAAGUGCGAAAGCGUGGGUAGCAAACAGG
This 252-nucleotide ribosomal RNA is filed under the name uncultured bacterium. RNAcentral describes it as "partial 16S ribosomal RNA". It matches the Rfam family "Bacterial small subunit ribosomal RNA", at positions 525 to 776 of the family's 1533-position model. The record is from RNAcentral.